CCUACGGGAGGCUGCAGUGAGGAAUAUUGGUCAAUGGCCGGAAGGCUGAACCAGCCAAGCCGCGUGAGGGAGGAAGGCGCAGAGCGUCGCAGACCUCUUUUGCCGGGGGACAAAAGUCCGGACUCGUCCGGUCCUGAGGGUACCCGGAGAAAAAGCAUCGGCUAACUCCGUGCCAGCAGCCGCGGUAAUACGGAGGAUGCGAGCGUUAUCCGGAUUCAGUGGGUUUAAAGGGUGCGCAGGCGGGCCUUUAAGCCGGCGGUGAAAUCGCGGGGCUCAACCCCGCCGCGCCGGCGGAACUGGGGGCGUUGAGUGCGGUGGAGGAAUGCGGAAUGCGCGGUGUAGCGGUGAAAUGCAUAGAUAUCGCGCAGAACCCCGAUUGCGAAGGCAGCGUGCUGUGCCGCCACUGACGCUGAGGCACGAAAGCGCGGGGAUCGAACAGGAUUAGAUACCCUAGUAGUC
This 459-nucleotide ribosomal RNA is filed under the name uncultured bacterium. Its description in RNAcentral is "partial 16S ribosomal RNA". It matches the Rfam family "Bacterial small subunit ribosomal RNA", at positions 338 to 795 of the family's 1533-position model. The record is from RNAcentral.